GCUGAGCAGAACAAUGUUGGUUGUCCGUAUAAUAAGAAUAUAUGUCCACAUAAGAUAAACUGUGUAACCGUUUUUCUUUAAGCCUUAAUGAGAUAUUAAAACACUAAUAUCACUUAACGUAUACUAUUUAUGCAGUAAUUAUAUUGUUAGUUGGGAGCCACCACGUAUCUAGCGAGCUAGGACCACGGGAAACAGAUGAAACAAAGAAACAGUUUCUAGAGAGCUAGCUAAGAUGAUGAGGGAGGCCCUUUUUUUUUUUUUGCAUCCCACGGAACAUGGUCGAAUCUUUGACGUCCAGUAGACCAAACAGUCGAAAAUUACAUUUCGUGAGCUAUCAUUGGUGUAUUCAAUACUGUUAUUGUAAUUGCAAAUGAUAUAUUAAAUUCCCAAAUUAACAUGAGCGCUAAGCUGGUGUGGUCGAUGGGGCCUCUCGACUGUUGACAUGGUUUUGUUACCCAAUGGUAUCGUUCUAGGAAAGUAUGUGCUAUGAAGAAUGCGGCAAGAACAAUGAUGGAUAAAUUUAUUGAAACACAAGACCGGUAUGUUAGCUUAUCAAGAGAGGAACAGAUAAAUAUUAAAAUUGUGGCAAUUUAUAUGAUAGGCAUACUAGUGACACUAUGGUAGGCGAUAAAUUCUACUCCCUCCGUUCUAAAUUUAAGUCACUUUG
RNAcentral lists this long non-coding RNA (667 nucleotides) under Sorghum bicolor (sorghum). RNAcentral's name for it is "long non-coding RNA (SBIC_LNC004055)". Lineage: Eukaryota; Viridiplantae; Streptophyta; Magnoliopsida; Poales; Poaceae. The record is from RNAcentral.